Molecule: unclassified non-coding RNA, 90 nt
Filed under: Pseudomonas brassicacearum
Lineage: Bacteria; Pseudomonadati; Pseudomonadota; Gammaproteobacteria; Pseudomonadales; Pseudomonadaceae
Source: RNAcentral
UGUGGGAGCGAGCUUGCUCGCGAAGGCGGCCUGACAGUCGAUAUUGAAGGUGACUGACCCACCGCCAUCGCGAGCAAGCUCGCUCCCACA